UACGGAGGGUGCAAGCGUUAUUCGGAAUCACUGGGCGUAAAGGACGCGUAGGCGGGAAGCCAAGUCUGAUGUGAAAUCCUAUGGCUUAACCAUAGAACUGCAUUGGAAACUGGUUACCUAGAGUAUGGGAGGGGGAGAUGGAAUUAGUGGUGUAGGGGUAAAAUCCGUAGAUAUCACUAGGAAUACCGAAAGCGAAGGCG
This 200-nucleotide ribosomal RNA is filed under the name uncultured bacterium. RNAcentral's name for it is "partial 16S ribosomal RNA". It matches the Rfam family "Bacterial small subunit ribosomal RNA", at positions 524 to 723 of the family's 1533-position model. The record is from RNAcentral.